RNAcentral lists this long non-coding RNA (2990 nucleotides) under Mus musculus (house mouse). Its description in RNAcentral is "long non-coding RNA chr18:50065805-50068795". The record is from RNAcentral. Lineage: Eukaryota; Metazoa; Chordata; Mammalia; Rodentia; Muridae.
AAUAAGUGUUCACUAGGACAGAUUGGGAGAGAGAACUGUUAUAUUUAGUCCAGGUUCGAGAGUUAUCAUAGAACCAGUACUUGUUCUCUCAGAGUAGAAUUGUCUGUGACUUUUCUCCUGGUUUUUAUUUUUUCACGGGCCAGAUCUCUCUCCCUCCCCCUCCCCUCCCCUCUCUCUCCUGUGAAAUAGUCAGUCCUCAGUUUUCAUUGUAUAUCUAUCCAUAGAUUUACUCAGCCAGAUUUUUUUUCUUUCAAUCUAUGGUGCUUUUUUUUCUUCUAGUUCAUGAAUGAGUCAAUUGACCGAAUGUAGGCAGCUACUGAACUUGGCAGUUGGUUGCCAUCAGCCUGCCUGUGGACAGGAAGUGUUUAGGAUAGAUAUGACUAACCAUUUUCCAAGCCUUAAAUAAAGCAGGGGAUUUUGGACAUAAUAGGUCUUUGUCGCUCGUUUCAACAUUUGCUGCGUGUUGAAGUUCAAAGCCAGCCCCUUGGCUACUUUACAUUUUUCCAGGUCCUCUGUUCCCCCAGCUUUCUGUGUUAUAGAGACUGAAACUGUCCUCGGGCUUUGGGUGUCAUGCUGAUUGUCGUAAGUGAAUUAUGAGGAUAUUUUAAUUGUCUUGAGAAUCUUCUAGGUCUGUAUUUUCUACUUUUUUUGUUCUUUGAGUUUUCCCUCCUUUUCAGUUGCCACCCUCCUGAGGUUCCUACCUGACUUGCCUACAGAGCAGUGUAAGGUAAGAGAUGAAAGUGACCCUGGACUGCUACACAGACCGUGGACUUGUCCUUUUGAAUAUACGGCCCUCAUGAUGUAGCAACAUUUUCCACUCCUAAAGCUCCUUCCAGUUAGCCAGUGUCUUUUAGACUUCUUUAAAUCACAUCUUUCUUUCACUCAGGGAGAACCAUGCCAUUUUGACAAAUUCCAAAAUAUUUUUAGUGAUCUUGUUGGCCUUUAGCUAAGACUCUAAAAGAAAUUUCUUUUUCUGCCCUUUGCCUUCUCUUUAACUUUUGUAAUUUUUCCUCCCUUAACUUAAAAUAACAACAACAAUAACAAAAACUCUGGUACCUCGUUUAAGUAGCAUCCUCCCCCUGUGUUAGGAUUUAAGAAGUAUUGACUAUAAAAUAAAAACUGUGACUAUUGAGUCUCUUCCUAUGUAAUUCAGAAUUCACAUAGGAGACAUUUUAAAUAAUAUGAAAAUUACAAAAGAAAGCCGUUUUGAAUAUAGUUUGUAGAAAUUAUAAAUGGAUGCAACAUCGGUGAGACAGGAUUGUCUGCACUUUCUUCUCUGCAUCCCCGACUGUGCUGGUCACUUGAGUUACCGUUUGUCUGCCAAAUACACAGCCAUGCAGGGGAAAGAGGAUUUAAAAUACAAAAUGCAUGCAAAUAUUGUUAGUUGGCUUAGGGUGAAGUCAUUAUCAGAUCUUUGAACCAUCUUCAGUGACAGGGCUACACUUUGCUAAGUUUAGAAAUAAAUUGUAAACAUAAAACAUAAGGUAUUUGUCUCGGUCAGGGUUGGUACUCUUGCUCUGAUCAAACACUAUUGACCUAAGCAAGUUGGGGCGGAAGGGAUUUAUUUGGUUCAAGCUUCCACUUCACUGAAGGAUGUCAGGAUAGGGACUCAAAUAGGACAGGAACCUGGAGGCAGGAGUUGAUGCGGAGGCCAUGAUUGGUGCUGUGCACUGGCUUGCUCCUCAUGACUUGUGUUGUCUGCCUUUUAUGGAACCUAGGAUGGCCAGCCCAGAGGUUUGCCUACUCACAAUAUGCUGAGCCUCCUCCAUCUAUCACUGACUAAGGAAAUGCCCCAUAGUCUUGUCUGCUUACAGCCUGAUCUUCUGGAGCCCCUUUCUCUAUUGAGGUUCCCGCCCUUUGGAUGACUCCAGCUUGCGUCAAGUUGUCAUAAAACUAGUCAACACAGUAUUGCAGUCGGGCCAGACAUGACUGACGCUAGAAUGUGUGCUGUUGAGUGCUUUCCUUAUUUAUACCUCUUUUUUUCACACGGAAGCAGGAAAAAGCAGUGCCAGCUUUGGUUUAGAAUAAAGCUUAAUUUUAAAAAUUUGAAAUCCUAUGUAUGAAUUUUCAUCAAGUAAAAACAGUUUCUUGAUGGAAAAUAUUGAUUCUUUUUUUAGAAACCAAGACUCUUAGAGUGGAGAGUAGCAGAUAGGAAUUUUGUAUAGAUGUCUUGUGUGUGUGUGUGUGUGUGUGUGUGUGUGUGUGUGUGUGUGUAUAGGACUCCCUGGAACUUGAGAUAGGCAGGGAUGGCCUUGAACUGAACCUGGAUCCUCUGUAAGAAUGCCAAGACAUUUCAAUUGCUGACCCAUCUCUCUAACCCUUUGUACCUUUUUUAAUGAUGAAUAUACUACAUUGUAGGCAAACAGAAAAUGCUUGAUAGCCAGUGAAGUGUGAAUAGACCCACUUCUAGAUGGCUCACAAUAUAAAAUACUUUGCAAAAACAAAACGUGUGAUUUUUCAUGAGGUCCAUGGAUCAUUCAAACCUGGAUAUUUAUUAUGUCUCUGGGCAAAUCACCUGGUUUGUAGGUACUAGAGUAUGUGACGCUCAGUACUUACAUCAAUCCUGUCUCAAGAGUCAGAAUUAGACUGAAUAGCUCUGACACAAUUCAUAGGCACAAGCUUAGGAAGGCCUCGUAGGCUGAGUCUGCACAGGGAGCCCUCAGUCUGCUGGUGUGUGUUUGAACCACAGUGUUCAGGACCCAGCUUAGAGCAGACAGGCCGUGGAAGGACAUUAAGCAGACUGGCUCUGUCUGAGCUGACCGAAGGCUGUGGCUACCUAACGCCUUACUAAGUGGGAAGGUGGCAGAAACUGAAGAUUCGUCUUUCAAAUUUGACAUAAUUUGACAUAGUUACCUGAUGUAAAUAUAUCCCAUGAUACCAUCGCAAAAAGAAGUAUCUGAGCCAAACUCAAUGUGUCUAGAAUACCUGCAGUCUUUUUUCUUUUCCCUGUCUUCCUGCCUGCCUGCCUGCCUGCAUAUAACCCACCCCCC